GGUUAGAGCGUAGAGGCGGCAGGGUAGCCUAGUGGUUAGAGCGUAGAGGCGGCAGGGUAGCCUAGUGGUUAGAGCGUAGGGGCGGCAGGGUAGCCUAGUGGUUAGAGCGUAGAGGCGGCAGGGUAGCCUAGUGGUUAGAGCGUAGAGGCGGCAGGGUAGCCUAGUGGUUAGAGCGUAGGGGCGGCAGGUUAGCCUAGUGGUUAGAGCGUAGAGGCGGCAGGGUAGCCUAGUGGUUAGAGCGUAGGGGCGGCAGGGUAGCCUAGUGGUUAGAGCGUAGAGGCGGCAGGGUAGCCUAGUGGUUAGAGCGUAGAGGCGGCAGGGUAGCCUAGUGGUUAGAGCGUAGAGGCGGCAGGG
Molecule: long non-coding RNA, 354 nt
Organism: Oncorhynchus tshawytscha (Chinook salmon)
Lineage: Eukaryota; Metazoa; Chordata; Actinopteri; Salmoniformes; Salmonidae
Source: Ensembl